GGCUUAAAGGGAGACCCUGGUAUUCCUGGUCUGCCUGGUCCAAGAGGAGAAAAAGGAGAUAUGGGUCCUCCAGGUCCACCUGGAUUGUCUAUCAAGGGACUGAAAGGAG
Hemiscyllium ocellatum (epaulette shark) is the source of this 109-nucleotide long non-coding RNA. RefSeq lists it as uncharacterized. The record is from RefSeq and is a predicted model, not a curated record. NCBI's taxonomy places the organism in Eukaryota, Metazoa, Chordata, Chondrichthyes, Orectolobiformes, Hemiscylliidae. The transcript is spliced from 3 exons.